RNAcentral lists this ribosomal RNA (794 nucleotides) under uncultured bacterium. RNAcentral describes it as "bacterial SSU rRNA". It matches the Rfam family "Bacterial small subunit ribosomal RNA", at positions 130 to 923 of the family's 1533-position model. The record is from RNAcentral.
CUGGUAGUGGGGGACAACAGUUGGAAACGACUGCUAAUACCGCAUACGCCCUACAGGGGAAAGCGGGGGAUCUUCGGACCUCGUGCUAUCAGAUGAGCCCGCGUCAGAUUAGCUAGUUGGUGGGGUAAAGGCCUACCAAGGCAACGAUCUGUAGCUGGUCUGAGAGGAUGAUCAGCCACACUGGGACUGAGACACGGCCCAGACUCCUACGGGAGGCAGCAGUGGGGAAUAUUGGACAAUGGGGGCAACCCUGAUCCAGCCAUGCCGCGUGUGUGAAGAAGGCUCUAGGGUUGUAAAGCACUUUCAGUAGGGAGGAAAGGGAGCUGUUUAAUACGCAGUUUCUGUGACGUUACCUACAGAAGAAGCACCGGCUAACUUCGUGCCAGCAGCCGCGGUAAUACGAGGGGUGCAAGCGUUAAUCGGAAUUACUGGGCGUAAAGCGCGCGUAGGGGUUAUCUAAGCGAGAUGUGAAAGCCCUGGGCUUAACCUGGGAACUGCAUUUCGAACUGGGUGACUAGAGUACAGCAGAGGAUAGUGGAAUUUCAGGUGUAGCGGUGAAAUGCGUAGAGAUCUGAAGGAACAUCAGUGGCGAAGGGACUGUCUGGGCUGAUACUGACGCUGAGGUGCGAAAGGUGGGGAGCAAACAGGAUUAGAUACCCUGGUAGUCCACGCCGUAAACGAUGUCUACUAGCCGUUGGGGUCCUUGAGACUUUAGUGGCGCAGUAACGCACUAAGUAGACCGCCUGGGGAGUACGGUCGCAAGAUUAAAACUCAAAUGAAUUGACGGGGGCCCG